GUUAACUCCGAGGCGGCAGCGGCGGUAUUACGGAGGAUCCGGCGGUUAUCCGGAGUUACUGGGGUUGAGGGGGGCGUAGGCGGCUCCCUCAGUCAGCGGUGAAAUGUAUCGGCUCAACCGAUAAGCUGCCGUUGAUACGGGGGAGCUUGAGUUGGGUUGAGGCAGGCGGAAUGUGCGGUGUAGCGGUGAAAUGCUUAGAUAUCGCACAGAACGCCGAUUGCGUAGGCAGCUUGCCAAGCCCACACUGACGCUGAGGCACGAAAGCGUGGGGAUCAAACAGGAUUAGAUACCCUUGUAGUC
RNAcentral lists this ribosomal RNA (300 nucleotides) under uncultured Clostridium sp. RNAcentral describes it as "bacterial SSU rRNA". It matches the Rfam family "Bacterial small subunit ribosomal RNA", at positions 496 to 795 of the family's 1533-position model. The record is from RNAcentral. Lineage: Bacteria; Bacillati; Bacillota; Clostridia; Eubacteriales; Clostridiaceae.